GAUGAACGCUAGCGGGAGGCUUAACACAUGCAAGUCGAGGGGCAGCAUAGGGUAGCAAUACUCUGAUGGCGACCGGCAAACGGGUGAGUAACGCGUAUGCAACCUACCCUGUACAGGGGGAUAACCCGGAGAAAUUCGGACUAAUAUCCCGUAAUAAUAUCCGGAGGCAUCUUUGGAUAUUUAAAGUUUCGACGGUGCGGGAUGGGCAUGCGUAACAUUAGCUGGUUGGUAAGGUAACGGCUUACCAAGGCUAUGAUGUUUAGGGGUCCUGAGAGGGUGGUCCCCCACACUGGUACUGAGACACGGACCAGACUCCUACGGGAGGCAGCAGUGAGGAAUAUUGGUCAAUGGGCGCAAGCCUGAACCAGCCAUCCCGCGUGCAGGAAGACGGCCCUAUGGGUUGUAAACUGCUUUUCCAGGGAGAGAAACUUACGCACGUGUUGCGUGACUGACGGUACCCUGGGAAUAAGCAUCGGCUAACUCCGUG
This 487-nucleotide ribosomal RNA is filed under the name uncultured bacterium. RNAcentral describes it as "bacterial SSU rRNA". It matches the Rfam family "Bacterial small subunit ribosomal RNA", at positions 28 to 507 of the family's 1533-position model. The record is from RNAcentral.